This 339-nucleotide unclassified non-coding RNA is filed under the name soil metagenome. RNAcentral describes it as "partial contains 5.8S ribosomal RNA, internal transcribed spacer 2, and large subunit ribosomal RNA". The stretch from base 1 to 120 matches the Rfam family "5.8S ribosomal RNA", at positions 35 to 154 of the family's 154-position model. The record is from RNAcentral.
GAUGAAGAACGUAGCGAAAUGCGAUACGUAGUGUGAAUUGCAGAAUUCAGUGAAUCAUCGAAUCUUUGAACGCACAUUGCACCUCUCGGUAUUCCGGGAGGUAUGCCUGUUCGAGCGUCAUUUGUACCCUCAAGCUCUGCUUGGUGUUGGGUGUUUGUCCCGCCUCUGUGUGUGAACUCGCCUCAAAACAAUUGGCAGCCGGCGUACUUGUUUCGGAGCGCAGCACAUUUUGCGAUCCAGAUCAACGUACAGCGGCAUCCAAGAAGCCUUAUUUAACGCUCUUGACCUCGAAUCAGGUAGGGAUACCCGCUGAACUUAAGCAUAUCAAUAAGCGGAGGA